UGCGCUAUAGCAGGAGAUGAACAUCUGAUUUGUCACAUUUGAAACGCUAAUGUUUAAACCAAAAGGAAGAGCACACAGUAAUGUGUUCAUUCAUCUGCAUAAACACCACCUGUCCCGGCGCAGACAACUCCUCAAGCAGCGAAAGUUUAGCGGCAGCCUGGCGCGGCCAGCCAAUCAGUGCGGGCCCAGCUGUGGUUUCACAAACCCGUAGCGUUUUCAAGUGUCAGAAAGCGCUCUGAGUACCGUCGGUGGUGCUGGAGAGAGAAUACUUUCAUUUCAUGUCAACCGCCAGCGAGACGAAUAGGCGACACGAUAACAACAAGAAAACAGGGCGAGCCAUCACGAUUGACAUCCAAAGAGUUUACUGGACUGUCACACCUGAAAGAAGACAAAACAACGUCCAUAGAGCACCAGGAAGACUGUUGGAAACAUCCUGACUCCUUCCACUGAGUCCGACUGAGCUUGGAGUGAUUCUGCGAAGAAGAAUGGCUAGAGAUUUCUGCCUCUGGCUGUCCAAAGGUGGUGGAGACAUACCAAGAUGCUCCUGCUGCUGGAAACCUCCCCUCUGAGACGAGGGGCCUGCUUGUGACCCGGCGUUAUUGUCGCCUUUUUUCAAGUAUGGCAAGGAGGGAAAGAAAGAAGG
Xiphophorus couchianus (Monterrey platyfish) is the source of this 643-nucleotide long non-coding RNA. RefSeq lists it as uncharacterized. The record is from RefSeq and is a predicted model, not a curated record. The transcript has 4 exons. NCBI's taxonomy places the organism in Eukaryota, Metazoa, Chordata, Actinopteri, Cyprinodontiformes, Poeciliidae.